Molecule: long non-coding RNA, 352 nt
Filed under: Lathyrus oleraceus (garden pea)
Lineage: Eukaryota; Viridiplantae; Streptophyta; Magnoliopsida; Fabales; Fabaceae
Description: Pisum sativum (pea) long non-coding RNA (PSAT_LNC023846)
Source: RNAcentral
UUUUUUUCUACUCCUUUUUUUUUGAAUCAGUUGAAUUUUCAAUUUUUCUUUUCUUUUUUCCCUUUUUUUUCUUGAAUCAUCAUAUUUACUCGUUUUAUUUUAUAUUCCUCAGUUUCUACAAAGAUACCCAAAACUUAAAAAGGUUAUUAUUCAAACAAUAACCCAAACAUAGAAUAAACUAAGUUUUGAGAAUUCAACUUACUAACCCUGAAAAGGGUAGGGGAGUAUUUGGAUUGAGGGUUAUGAUGGGUGGUAAUAACAAAAAACUGAUAUAUGGCUCAAAGGGGUUUACCAAAGGAUAAUUAAAAUUAAAAGGGAUAGCUUAAAGGCUUCGGGUUAAAAUAGAAAAAAU